This 244-nucleotide ribosomal RNA is filed under the name uncultured Staphylococcus sp. RNAcentral's name for it is "partial 16S ribosomal RNA". It matches the Rfam family "Bacterial small subunit ribosomal RNA", at positions 96 to 334 of the family's 1533-position model. The record is from RNAcentral. Lineage: Bacteria; Bacillati; Bacillota; Bacilli; Caryophanales; Staphylococcaceae.
CGGCGGACGGGUGAGUAACACGUGGAUAACCUACCUAUAAGACUGGGAUAACUUCGGGAAACCGGAGCUAAUACCGGAUAAUAUUUUAAACCGCAUGGUUCAAAAGUGAAAGACGGUCUUGCUGUCACUUAUAGAUGGAUCCGCGCUGCAUUAGCUAGUUGGUAAGGUAACGGCUUACCAAGGCAACGAUGCAUAGCCGACCUGAGGGGGUGAUCGGCCACACUGGAACUGAGACACGGUCCAG